GAUAAAGAAGAGGCAACAAGAUGUGGUGAGGUUUCUUGAAGCCAAUCGCAUAGAGUUUGAAGAAGUGGAUAUCACAAUGUCAGAGGAGAAAAGACAAUGGAUGUAUAAAAAUAUUCCUGAGGACAGGCAGCCCGCGCAGGGCAAUCCACUGCCACCACAGAUAUUCAGUGAUGAUCGGUACUGUGGAGAUUACGAUGGCUUUUUUGAAUCAAAGGAGAGCAACACUGUCUUCUCCUUUCUUGGACUGAAACCUACUUUGGCAUCAAAGGAGUCGGAACCCUAGAAAGCCUAUCUGAAGAAUCGACAAGCACAUCUCCUGAAUGAAUGACCCUGUUCUUCAGCACACAACAGCUUCCCUAAUGGAUCACUGUGAUAGACCAAACAUGCAUCAUUAGUUGUAGUCUGCUUGCCAUGAGACGGUGCUCUCCAAUAAUGUGGAGUUAAUAACACGUAUAUGAAACAGAAUUAAGGCCGGGCUACUCAUCUUCCUUUUUAAAAAUACUCAUUGUUGAUGUUUCACUUUUGUCUUUGGAUUGCUUUUGCAACUGGCACUGAUAUUCUAACAGACACGUAUGUUUGAGAAUAAGAAGUGGAAGUGUAGGGCUUCUAUCGUUCAUGGAUAUACUUA
This is a long non-coding RNA of Fulmarus glacialis (Northern fulmar), 628 nucleotides long. RefSeq lists it as uncharacterized. The transcript has 3 exons. The record is from RefSeq and is a predicted model, not a curated record. Lineage: Eukaryota; Metazoa; Chordata; Aves; Procellariiformes; Procellariidae.